RNAcentral lists this ribosomal RNA (1324 nucleotides) under Vibrio sp. PaD1.50. Its description in RNAcentral is "bacterial SSU rRNA". It matches the Rfam family "Bacterial small subunit ribosomal RNA", at positions 135 to 1454 of the family's 1533-position model. Lineage: Bacteria; Pseudomonadati; Pseudomonadota; Gammaproteobacteria; Vibrionales; Vibrionaceae. The record is from RNAcentral.
UGUGGGGGAUAACCAUUGGAAACGAUGGCUAAUACCGCAUAAUGCCUACGGGCCAAAGAGGGGGACCUUCGGGCCUCUCGCGUCAGGAUAUGCCUAGGUGGGAUUAGCUAGUUGGUGAGGUAAUGGCUCACCAAGGCGACGAUCCCUAGCUGGUCUGAGAGGAUGAUCAGCCACACUGGAACUGAGACACGGUCCAGACUCCUACGGGAGGCAGCAGUGGGGAAUAUUGCACAAUGGGCGCAAGCCUGAUGCAGCCAUGCCGCGUGUGUGAAGAAGGCCUUCGGGUUGUAAAGCACUUUCAGUCGUGAGGAAGGUAGUGUAGUUAAUAGCUGCAUUAUUUGACGUUAGCGACAGAAGAAGCACCGGCUAACUCCGUGCCAGCAGCCGCGGUAAUACGGAGGGUGCGAGCGUUAAUCGGAAUUACUGGGCGUAAAGCGCAUGCAGGUGGUUUGUUAAGUCAGAUGUGAAAGCCCGGGGCUCAACCUCGGAAUAGCAUUUGAAACUGGCAGACUAGAGUACUGUAGAGGGGGGUAGAAUUUCAGGUGUAGCGGUGAAAUGCGUAGAGAUCUGAAGGAAUACCGGUGGCGAAGGCGGCCCCCUGGACAGAUACUGACACUCAGAUGCGAAAGCGUGGGGAGCAAACAGGAUUAGAUACCCUGGUAGUCCACGCCGUAAACGAUGUCUACUUGGAGGUUGUGGCCUUGAGCCGUGGCUUUCGGAGCUAACGCGUUAAGUAGACCGCCUGGGGAGUACGGUCGCAAGAUUAAAACUCAAAUGAAUUGACGGGGGCCCGCACAAGCGGUGGAGCAUGUGGUUUAAUUCGAUGCAACGCGAAGAACCUUACCUACUCUUGACAUCCAGAGAACUUUCCAGAGAUGGAUUGGUGCCUUCGGGAACUCUGAGACAGGUGCUGCAUGGCUGUCGUCAGCUCGUGUUGUGAAAUGUUGGGUUAAGUCCCGCAACGAGCGCAACCCUUAUCCUUGUUUGCCAGCGAGUAAUGUCGGGAACUCCAGGGAGACUGCCGGUGAUAAACCGGAGGAAGGUGGGGACGACGUCAAGUCAUCAUGGCCCUUACGAGUAGGGCUACACACGUGCUACAAUGGCGCAUACAGAGGGCAGCAAGCUAGCGAUAGUGAGCGAAUCCCAAAAAGUGCGUCGUAGUCCGGAUUGGAGUCUGCAACUCGACUCCAUGAAGUCGGAAUCGCUAGUAAUCGUGGAUCAGAAUGCCACGGUGAAUACGUUCCCGGGCCUUGUACACACCGCCCGUCACACCAUGGGAGUGGGCUGCAAAAGAAGUAGGUAGUUUAACCUUCGGGAGGACGCU